This is a long non-coding RNA of Fukomys damarensis (Damara mole-rat), 1121 nucleotides long. RefSeq lists it as uncharacterized. The transcript is spliced from 3 exons. The record is from RefSeq and is a predicted model, not a curated record. NCBI's taxonomy places the organism in Eukaryota, Metazoa, Chordata, Mammalia, Rodentia, Bathyergidae.
CCUUGGGGCCACCAGCCGGGUGGGGAGUGGCUUCGAGGGGCCUCUCGCCAGCGGAAGGCCCGCGAGGCCGCCCUCGGAGCACCGCCAGAUUUAUAAAACUGUUCUUUGCAAGUGCCAGAAAUGGACUGUAGCUAACUUAAGCCACGGGUAAGGGAGAAGGGGGCCAGGGGAGCCCCAGGGACUCACUACUGCUCGUGUGGGGCUGACAAGCCAUCCAGAGGCAAGAAACCGAGGACCAGAGAGCUGGCACUACCUGCCAAAGCCACAUAGCUGGGAGGAAACAGGAGCCGUGGGAAUGCGCACUCAGAGCAGGUAAGGGGUGCAGAGCCUGAGACAGCCAGGAUCCCGGGGUUCUGGGCUGGCGGAGAUGCUGCUGGAGCUUCAGAGCUGGGGAGAGACAAGCUGCCCCAGACACUGGCCUGAGGCCUGUGUGGGCGUGGGAGGGAGCCACAGCCCAGACACACCUGGCCCAGGGCCCGGCCCUGGGGUGGAGUUUCGCAUCUGCUCCUUCUCACUUCACCCCAGCCAGGGGUGAAAGACGAGGGCCCCAGCCAGCCUGGAGUCAGCCAGCCUGCCUGACAAACAGGAAAGACCAGCAGCAGAGGCUGGGAGCACCCUUGCUGGGCCUGGGCUGUUCCUCUGGUCCCAGUGGAGGUGGGAGCCCCCAGGUGCCCUGUACCCAUUUCCCCCUCAGCCAGGUAAGGGGAGAGGCGAGGGAGGAGAGAGAGCAUCCCAAACCCAGCUUGUCCAGGCCUGACAUCUGCAGAUCCCUGUACUGCUCCCUGUUUUCCACUCAUUUCACAGGCCUUUCUUUACCUGAUCUUGUCCAGAGUGUUUUGUCUGUGAAAUCACAGGCUUAAUGUGUUGGCUUUGUUUUUUUGGUAACGCACACUAAAAUAAAGCAUAUGUGUUUUAAAGAUUGCUGGGCCAUCUGUGGAUCAUGUAAGAUGCCUGGCUUGGGAGGACAACCCUUGUUCGGAAAGCGAAGGGCCUUGCUGGGAUGACCUGGGAAGGGACAGUCACAAGGGGCAGCCCCAGCCUGUGGCCUUGAGUAGGUCUAGAGACCCUCGCCCCACCUUGACAGGCCUGGGCCCCAGAAGCAGCUUUGCCAGGCAACCUGG